Molecule: non-coding RNA, 26 nt
Filed under: Rattus norvegicus (Norway rat)
Lineage: Eukaryota; Metazoa; Chordata; Mammalia; Rodentia; Muridae
Source: RNAcentral
CCGGAGUCUGACUAUUGCAUGCUUGG